RNAcentral lists this unclassified non-coding RNA (763 nucleotides) under Hevea brasiliensis (rubber tree). The record is from RNAcentral. Lineage: Eukaryota; Viridiplantae; Streptophyta; Magnoliopsida; Malpighiales; Euphorbiaceae.
AAAGCCCCUCAACUUCAGCAUGUCCAACAGCUAAACUUUGGAUGUUAUACCCUCGUCGAGCAAAAACUCCGGUGACUAUGUUGAGAACUCCAGGAGAGUCAUUCACAAGCAUUGACAAAGUGUGUGAGCGGAGCCCACUCGUAUCUUCAUCAUUGAGAACACCCCAGUGAGCAUCAAGAACUUGAUUGACUCCAGAGUUGCCAUCUGUCUCGACAGGAUAAACAUCUCCCUCAGCCAUAGACAUAGAUUCUCCAUUAGAAGUCUUCUUGGUUGUCCCUGCAACAGUAUUAGCAGACAUUGCAACUUCAAGAUCUGGGUAUGAUGCUGCUGAAAACCGCCAAAAAGGAGCAGAUUCCCCCAUCUUUUCCCUUCUCAAGGCAAUCUUCCCAGUACGCGCAAUUUCUCUAAUUCCAAAUUUACUUAAGUUCCUCUGAACAGCCACCAUCUUCCCUGGAUCUCCAGUUACCUCAAUAGUCAGUGAAUGAUCAGAGAUAUCCACAAUUUUUGCCCUGAAAAUGUCCACCAACCACAUAACCUCUGCGCGGAAUUUUGGAUCUGCGCUGAUUUUGAUAAGCAUUAGUUCACGUUCAACUUGUGGCUCCUUGGAUAGAUCUUCAACCUUGAUCACAUUUACGAGCUUUUGUAACUGUUCCAUAACUUGCUGUAACACCCUUUCAGUUCCAGAAACCACUAUAGUAAAAAGAGCCUUGUCCUUGUUUAGACCAACAGCAAGAGACUCAAUAUUAUACCCUCUUCGAGCAAA